This 517-nucleotide unclassified non-coding RNA is filed under the name uncultured Glomus. RNAcentral's name for it is "SSU rRNA". It matches the Rfam family "Eukaryotic small subunit ribosomal RNA", at positions 569 to 1088 of the family's 1831-position model. Lineage: Eukaryota; Fungi; Glomeromycota; Glomeromycetes; Glomerales; Glomeraceae. The record is from RNAcentral.
AGCAGCCGCGGUAAUUCCAGCUCCAAUAGCGUAUAUUAAAGUUGCUGCAGUUAAAAGCUCGUAGUUGAAUUUCGGGACCAUCAUGUCGGUCGUGCCUCGGUACGUACUGGCAUUGUUGGUUUCUACCUUCUGACGAACCAUGAUGUCAUUUAUUUGGUGUCGUGGGGAAUCAGGACUGUUACUUUGAAAAAUUAGAGUGUUUAAAGCAGGCUCACGCUUGAAUACAUUAGCAUGGAAUAAUGAAAUAGGACGUUUGAUUCUAUUUUGUUGGUUUCUAGGAUCGACGUAAUGAUUAAUAGGGAUAGUUGGGGGCAUUAGUAUUCAAUUGUCAGAGGUGAAAUUCUUGGAUUUAUUGAAGACUAACUACUGCGAAAGCAUUUGCCAAGGAUGUUUUCAUUAAUCAAGAACGAAAGUUAGGGGAUCGAAGACGAUCAGAUACCGUCGUAGUCCUAACCAUAAACUAUGCCGACUAGGGAUCGGAUGAUGUUAAUUUUUUAAUGUACUUCAUUCGGUACCG